Molecule: long non-coding RNA, 877 nt
Filed under: Phascolarctos cinereus (koala)
Lineage: Eukaryota; Metazoa; Chordata; Mammalia; Diprotodontia; Phascolarctidae
Description: lncRNA (ENSPCIG00000004765.2)
Source: RNAcentral
GGCUGGGGCAGGCCCUGGUUUAAAUUAGCGCCGUCCUGUCCAAUCUGACAGUAGCGACAUGAACCUGCGCUGUCUGAAUCUGCCGCCCAGAUAGGGACUGGAAGGGACUGGGAAUGCCGAGAUUGUUUUCCUUCGGACCCUAUGGAAGCCCACACGGUGGGGAUUGUCUGCGGUGACAGCCCUAACACUUCCCAGAGCCGAGGACCCCAGUAUAGAAAUGGCAUUGCCCACCCUGAAAGUGAGAAGAAAGAAGCAUUUUCUCCAGUACCUGGAAGGGUUCCUGAUGCCUGAAAAGGCUUGGAUUGUAUUGAGCUGGGGUUUGUUUGUGCUCAAGGAAGAAAAAUCUCUCUGGAAAUGCCAAACCUGACCUCAGUUGUACAAAAUUUAGUGAAGAAAUGGUGGUGAUGAUGAUGAUAACGAUGAUGAUGAUGAAAAUGAAGCAGAAGAGGAAGAAGAAAAAGAAGAAAAAGAGGAAGAAGAGGAAGAAGAGAGACAGAAAAUCUGGUUCAAAUCUAUUGACUCCUUUUGAGCAAGUUAUUCUCUAGGCCUCAGUUUCUUUGUCUGUCGUAGAAGACUGGCUCACAAAUCUCUAAAGCCAGAUUCACAUAUAUGACUGUUUGCUGGCCAUAUUUUUGAACUCUUCCUUGUCUUCUAAAAAAAAAAAAUCAAAACAAAAAAAGUAGAUCCUUUGCAUUUACUUUGUACAUAUUUUACAUUUAUUAAUCUAUAAAUAUGUUGUCCUCUCUCUCCCAGCAAAACGAAGUUUUUUGAAGGCAGGCAUUCUUUUUUCAUUUUUGUGUUUUUUUUUUUUAUCCCUGACACAUAGUAUAGUGCCUUCUACACAGUAGGUACUUAAUAAAUGCUUGUUGAAUUGAAC